Molecule: long non-coding RNA, 1059 nt
Organism: Astatotilapia calliptera (eastern happy)
Lineage: Eukaryota; Metazoa; Chordata; Actinopteri; Cichliformes; Cichlidae
Source: Ensembl
AUGAAAGUUUUCACAGCAGAGCCCCUCAUGACGUUUUGACAUCUUUCCCUUUUAGUGGAUACAAUCACUUGUGCUGUCUUCAAAAAUUUUAUUUUUUUCCAUUCCCAUUCUCAUAAUGUACACCUGUGGGAAAACCCAGCAGUGAGAUCCACACACCUGACAGGUCAGAGUUUGGCGAGUGUUAAAGUUGCACACUCAAAUACACAAAAGGUAGUGUUAGAUCUUUUUAUUAAAACAAAGGUUCAUCUUUCAUCCACUUAGAAGAGAAAAAGAGCUAAAGGAUUGAAAUAAGAAGAGGAAAGGAACCUUCUAAAUUUUGCUCCACUGAGCAAACACUGCAUUUUAAUCCAUUCAAAGACACAACAGGGUGCUUGGCUUGAUUGCGCAAAACUCCCUUAUUGAAAGAAAUCUCCCCCCUCACUCAUUUCCUCCUUUAUCCUCCACCUAUUCACUUAAGAUUUUCUACAUUUUCCUCCUCCCAUUCCUCCCCUUUGUAUUCCUGGACUCCUGCUCCACCCAUCCUAUCCCUCACCACAUGCACAUAUCUCACCUCCGUAUAUAACCACCCCUCUUGUAUACAUUUUAUACCCAGUAUACUUCGACAAAGAUGCUGUAUACAUUUGUAUACGCUGUGUGCCUGUCUCCAUUGUAUGCCAUCCAUAUCUAUGUAGCGUUCACUAUGUUUUAUUGACACUGUAGUCACCAUACAAUUCUUCCUCUCAUCAUUAUUGCUCAUUCUUCUUCUGCAGUUAAAGUUGUACGACUAUAAUCUCCUAUCAUGUCCCUCCUCCAUGUCCGCCCUUGCUCCGCCACUCAAGCCCCACUCCCAACUCCCAUCUUGUGACCCACACUCCACACAGAAGAAAAAGAAUGUUUCACUCUGGAGAAAUUCAUGAUGUGAGAAAUAAAUGGAGGGCGGAGGUGGAGCGUAGGAGAGGGUGGGGUCGAGAAAACAGCUCACCCAAUUAAUGACAAAGAGAAAUGUCUGUAGUAUAAUUACAAAAGAGGAAAAGUGCACUAUUAUGACAAUGAUUAUUAUUGCCUGUGAAAAAUACUGAC